Molecule: microRNA, 22 nt
Filed under: Aegilops tauschii
Lineage: Eukaryota; Viridiplantae; Streptophyta; Magnoliopsida; Poales; Poaceae
Description: ata-miR2118a-5p
Source: miRBase by way of RNAcentral
UUCCUAAUGUCUCCCAUUCCUA